Molecule: microRNA precursor, 61 nt
Filed under: Caenorhabditis brenneri
Lineage: Eukaryota; Metazoa; Nematoda; Chromadorea; Rhabditida; Rhabditidae
Description: microRNA cbn-mir-35n precursor
Gene: cbn-mir-35n
Source: miRBase by way of RNAcentral
UGCUGGUUUUCACCGCGGUUAUACUUCUAACAAUAAUUAUCACCGGGUUAAAACUUGCAGA